AGUGGCAGACGGGAUAGUAACGCGUGGGAAUUUGCCCAAUAGUACGGAAUAACUGCGGGAAACUGCAGCUAAUACCGUAUACGCCCUCCGGGGGAAAGAUUUAUCGCUAUUGGAUAAGCCCGCGUCGAAUUAGCUUGUUGGUGAGGUAAUGGCUCACCAAGGCAACGAUUCGUAGCUGGUCUGAGAGGACGAUCAGCAUCACUGGGACUGAGACACGGCCCAGACUCCUACGGGAGGCAGCAGUGGGGAAUAUUGGACAAUGGGCGCAAGCCUGAUCCAGCCAUGCCGCGUGUGUGAAGAAGGCCUUAGGGUUGUAAAGCACUUUCAGCAGGGAAGAUGAUGACGGUACCUGCAGAAGAAGCCCCGGCCAACUCCGUGCCAGCAGCCGCGGUAAUACGGAGGGGGCAAGCGUUGUUCGGAAUUACUGGGCGUAAAGCGCGCGUAGGCGGUUAGUCUAGUCAGGCGUGAAAUCCCGGGGCUCAACCCCGGAACUGCGCUUGAUACUGGCUUACUAGAGGUCUGGAGAGGGUAGUGGAAUUCCCAGUGUAGAGGUGAAAUUCGUAGAUAUUGGGAAGAACACCAGCGGCGAACGCGGCUACCUGGACAGAUACUGACGCUGAGGUGCGAAAGCGUGGGGAGCAACCAGAUUAGAUACCCUGGUAGUCCACGUCGU
This 673-nucleotide ribosomal RNA is filed under the name uncultured bacterium. Its description in RNAcentral is "bacterial SSU rRNA". It matches the Rfam family "Bacterial small subunit ribosomal RNA", at positions 94 to 803 of the family's 1533-position model. The record is from RNAcentral.